GGCGCCCCUCUCCCCGCUCCGCUCCGCGGUCCAGCUCACUUCAGCUAUGCUGGUCGACCCUCUGGGAAGGGAGACGUGGCCAAGAAACAGCAGACCUGGCCUCCACUUGGAUAAUUCUGCAAACCUUUGUAUGAGGACAGAUUGCACAAGGCUGCAUGGGUGAGGUGGAAGGAAGAAAAAGGGAAGAGUGUUUUCUGCUUAUGACUGGGACCCUGUUAUUCAUUGGCUUGAGUGUUUCAGCUGAGUUCUGUGGAUUAGGAGCCGAGUCAUGUCAGCACUAGAAACCUCCCGGGUCUCAGUCAUAUGUGCUACCCCACCUCUUCCCCGCAGCCCAGACCAUUCCUUUCAGAGAACCCUCCCUGUUUCGCACUUUCACAGAGCGAAGCUGUUCUGAGUCUUGGGGUCACACCCAGCUCACACGUCCCAACAGAAGCUGAGGAAAGUUCUGGGGUCCUUCUCUGUGGCCUCCAUCUUCAGCCCUGCCCUGCUUCCGGAGGUGGGCAGGAAAGAGGCCUCCCGGCGGGAGCUGCCCCGUGUCCGGCCGUUGUGGAGCGUCUGUCCUGCUGCUUUGGCUCAGCAGCUGGCUGUUGGGCAUCCAGAGAGCCAACGAGGCUGUGUGAUGUGGGAGACAGCGAGGGCCAUGUUCCCACACUGAAUUAAGUGAAAUGAUGUUGGCUGAACUGGAUGGAACAUUUUAAACCGGGCCAAGGAGGUGACCUGGGCUUGACUACAGCACAGCACAGGCGCCGAGUCAGAGCAAAGAGCAGGAGGCACAGCUGCUCGAUCCGGUCUUCCAGGCCACACCACUAACAGUUGAAGGCGUGGACCUGUCUGCGCCGUUCCCCACUGUAUAUUCCACAUCUGGGUCAAUGAUCAGCACGAUGGAAUAUACAUCCAUAUUCCUUGAAUGGCUGACUGAGUGGGUGUGUAAGUGAUGCUGAGGUCUGGAUUGAAAAACAGGCCUCCCCAGUGGAAGGAACCAGGGCUCCUUGGAGAAACGAUGGAUUCUAGGGCUGGGACAGGAAAUCCACAGGAGUGCCAGAAAGUAUAGAAACACUCAAAAAAACAAAAGGAUGGGGUAUGUUGAAGGGAUAUAGGAGUCAACCUAAAAAGAACACCCAAUGGCCAAAAUUGAAACAAUCUGAGCCUAAUUAUCAGAUGAAAAACCAAAUCUUUAAAUAUACGUGAGAGUCCAUACUGAUAUAAGUGGUUGACUAAAUAAGUAAGUUCUUUCUUACAGAAGAACUUAAAUGAUUAAUAUAAAUACUACCCUCCAGGAGAUGGAGUCUAAUUCUCCCCACUCCCUUCCUCCGUGAGGGGUGGAGAUACUGCCCUUAGUGACUUGCUUCCAAACAACAGAGCAGGUAAAAGGAGAACAGGGUCACUUUCAGUGGGGAAACCUGGCAAACAGUACUUUGGCCUGGUGUUCAAGAUUGAUUUCACCGUCCUGUCACGUGGGAGGCACAUCCCCACCGAUACAAUGUGAGGAGGGCACUUCUGCUCUGCUGGCUUCCUCCAAUAGCCCACAGCCCUGGUGUAACUGUGAAAAAUGCAUCAGACAGACCCAACCAGCAGGGCAUUCUACACAGCACCUAACUAAACUAAAACUCUUCAGAUCUGUCAAAACUCCAUGACAAACAUGACAAGAGGCCAUCAGACCAGAGGAGUUAAGGAGACAUGACAACCACCCGCGGUGCGGCAUCCUAGGUGAGACCCUGCGACAGAAAAAGGAAAUCAUUGCAGAAGCUAGGGAAAUCUGAAUCAAAUAUGGACUUAAUAAGAAGGUAUCAAUAUUGGUUCCUUAACUGUAACAAGCAUACCACUGUGAUGUCAGAUGCUGACAGUAGGAGCAGGCUGAAGGGUAUGUGGGAACUCUGUACAUU
Molecule: long non-coding RNA, 1883 nt
Organism: Dama dama (fallow deer)
Lineage: Eukaryota; Metazoa; Chordata; Mammalia; Artiodactyla; Cervidae
Exons: 3
Source: RefSeq, a predicted model, not a curated record